Long non-coding RNA from Syzygium oleosum, 2016 nucleotides. RefSeq lists it as uncharacterized. The record is from RefSeq and is a predicted model, not a curated record. The transcript has 4 exons. Lineage: Eukaryota; Viridiplantae; Streptophyta; Magnoliopsida; Myrtales; Myrtaceae.
UGUGAAAUGUGAUGAAUAAAGCAAAGAGAAAUCAACGAAAGCCGGAUUUUAUUACAGCUGACAAUUGGACGGAAAUUACGAGAACUUGGGAAACUGAGAAGCAUAAGCAAAUAAGUAAACAGAAUAAGAAGAAUCGAGCUUCUAGUUCUAGUGAAGGGUCUGCGUCUGCCACAUAUGCUGGGGGCUCUAUCAACAUCGGGGAGCAUAGAAAAAGAAUGGCAGAUGAAUUGAGGACGAAACCGACAUUUACAGCUACAUUUGAAUGCACAUUUCAGAAAAAAGACAAGACGUGGACUGGCGAUCGAGCAAAAGCUAUUAAGUGGUGGUGAUGGUGGUGAUGGUGUUGCUGCGUCUGAGCCAUCGGUUAACAGUAUGGCAUUAUGGUUGGAGGCAUCGGGUGGGAUGAAAGGAGGAAAAAUAUUUGGGAUGAGAUCCUUGUCAAGGGCAUACACAACGAAGGCUGAUGCAACUUCAUCCUCCAAUGCGGCUGUUUCAAGGAGGACACGACAUGAGGAGCAAAUGACCCAAGAAUUGAGCCAACUAAAAGAUUUACUUGUACAAAAGGACGAAGAACUCAAACAUUUACUUGUACAGAAGGACGAAGAAAUAAGAGGAAUGAAACAACAAAUGCAAUUGAUCUUGCGACACCUCAACCUCGAUCACGAUGAGGUUCCUCCUGUACCUCACAUUAAUCCAAUAGGUGAUGGGCACAAUGAUGAGCCACACAAUGAUAAUGAGAUUGCUGCUGAUGAUGAUGAUGAUUUUAUUAGCAGUCCUUGCUAGUUCAUUCUCUUCGGGGGUAAGCUUAUAAGGACUAACUUACAACAAUUACUUUCUGUGCACAACUUUCUUACAUGUCUGUACAAUGCUUGCGAAAAAUUAAAAAUUUGACAAAAGUCACUGUUCUUUGUUUAGAAAAUCAUGAUAGUUCAACAUUGUAGAAAUACAUGCCUUAUUUGAUUUCAAAUUUUGAUCAUAUUUGCAGAUGCGAGAAGCUAAGUUUCACAUGUUGUACAAUUGAACUGUGAUUCCUUUUAUUGCAUGUUCUCAAGUGGACAUGUUUCGAGUAAAGAUGCUAAUUUUUAAAUGUUUUGAAGAGAAUGAUCUAUCUUUUACAUUUCUGAGUGGCCACACAAAUUGAGAAAUUUGACUUUUGAUAGGUCAUUCUUGUGGAUGAGUUAUAUCCAUUGUCAGUAACAUAAUAUCUCAAAGUAAAACAUGAGAAGCUUUACAUGCUGAAUAAUCAAUUCUUAAAUUUGAUACACUAUCAUUUGAAGUCAGUAUAGAUUAGGGGAGCUUAGAUAGAAGGAAAGGUAUUAUGCAGAGAAAUUUCAUGCGUCUACUUCGGAUGAGAUAGAGAGUUAAAGAAGGAAACGGUACGUGUUUUUUUGUAUCUUGAAGCUUUCAGUUUACUUUAUUUAAUAUCAAUAUUAUUUCUCGUAAUUAUUUUGAUUUUAUAUUGUCUUGGUAACUUAGAAUUUAUAUGUUUUGAAGUGUUCAGUACUUACUUCGCUUGAUUUUAAUUUCUGUAACAUGGAUUUAGUUAGUUUAGAUGGUAGGGCAGUCUUAAGACUCUCAAUGUCUUAAUAGCAUUCCUUUACAUUUAGAUGUUUCCUUCAAUUGCAAAUCUGUGUGGAUGUGGAAAUUCUGUAUGAAGUGUUCCUUUUUAUGGGGACUUACAACAUAGAAGUUCUGGAUUUUAAUUUUUGCAUUGCUGGGACUUACAGCUAUUGGUGAUUUGCAGGGACUUACAGUUAUUGGUCUGGCCACGCAGAAUGCGGAUGCCACCUUACUGGCUGAACAUCUCCAAGAUUGGGAUCUGUGGGAAACCAGCCCCACAAGAUUUCUCUGCAGAUUACGAACACUGGAAACAAGUAAUUUGCUGCUGCACUGAAGGAUCUCCAGAUGUGGGUGCUGAACGUGGUAAAUGUUGACUCACCAGAUACGCUUCCCACGAUUGGUGCGAGUCCUUCAGCACGUACCCUAGAACCUAUGAUCCGCUGCAUGCAGAUCAUC